AUAGAGAAUCCUACCUGCCCGGUGAUUUAUACAACUUAACGGCUGCGGUAUCCUAACCGUGCGAAGGUAGCAUAAUAAUUCGCCUUUUAAUUGGUGGCUGGAAUGAAUGGUUUCACAAGAAUAUAACUGUCUCUAUAAAAUUAUCUAGAACUUUAUUUUUAAGUGAAGAAGCUUAAAUAAUAUAAAAAGACAAGAAGACCCUAUCGAGCUUUAAUAAACAUUAAAAUCUCUCAUCGAGAUGUUUAACUAUAAUUUUUGUUGGGGGGACUGAGAAACAAAAAAAACUCUUUUAAUUUAAAUUAACUACUUUGUAUUGAUCCACUAUAAGUGAUUAGUAAAAUUAGUUACCGUAGGGAUAACAGCAUGAUUUUGUUUAAGAGAUCAAAUUGAAAACAAAGUUUAUGACCUCGAUGUUGGAUCAAAAUAUCCUAAAGGUGCAGAAGCUUUUAAGGGUUGGUCUGUUCGACCAUUAAAAUUUUA
This 480-nucleotide ribosomal RNA is filed under the name Closia giadae. RNAcentral's name for it is "partial 16S ribosomal RNA". It matches the Rfam family "Bacterial large subunit ribosomal RNA", at positions 1845 to 2598 of the family's 2925-position model. The record is from RNAcentral. Lineage: Eukaryota; Metazoa; Mollusca; Gastropoda; Neogastropoda; Marginellidae.